UUGACUUUGGAUUUCCGUCUCUGGCGGCGGCGGGUACAGCUUCCGCUAGCUCCGGGAUGAAGCGCCACUAAUCCUGCAUCCCCAGACAGCAUCCCUUUCCUAGUCGAGUUGUUAUUCAGGUCUCUGUAUGGGGAACAGCCACAGAUCACAAGGGUGGAAUGCAGAUGGCUAAUUGGGAGUGUCGACUGAGAAAAUGCACAACCUAAAAGUUGAGAAUUAUGUUUUAUUCAGCGGACAUACUGAGGACUUAAGCCCGGAGACAGCCUCUCACGUAGCUCGGAGGGAUUUCUCCAAAGAGCUGCUUGAAUCUGCCCCGUGGAACUCAGGGAAGGUUAUGGCGGCUGAGUGAAGCCUGUUUCCUGGAAUCAAAGAAAUGGGGGACACAGACUUCAUGCCCAGGAGCCCCACAGGGCCCUGCUCGGUAUCAUUAUCUGUUGGGACUUCCCCGCAGGGCCCAAGAGGAACCAGUGGGCAUCCCUCCUGAGUAUACGGACCUUCCACCCGCCGGCGCAGGCCAGCAUCCCGUGCGGCCUGGACCCCCAUGCGGUCACUGAUGGGAGGCCUGGGCCAAGCUCUUCUGAACGGCGAGCUACCAACAUGCAGAUGGCGUUGGGGAGUGAGAGAUGACCUUGCAGCGGAGGUGGGCUAGAGACCGCAGCCCCCCGGCCCUGGGUGCGUUCCCGCCUCUGCCUGGAGGGGCCUCGGCUGGUGGCCAGCUUGCCACCUCUGGGUGCAGCCACGAGCUUGAAGCCCGGUGUCUGAACGGCCACAGGGACUGGGACGUCUUUGAGGAAUCACAGAGAGAAGGAUGUCCAAGCUACAGGAGCCUUCAGCUAGGAAAUAAGGCUCCGAGAAAGGUGGUACUUGGACAACUGGACAAACCAGACACGGGGCUAGUUCCUGACCUUCAAACUUCUGCUCUCUGAGAGUUCCUCAAACUGGGGUCCCCUGGGUCUGCUUGGGAGUCCAGGAAUUCUUUACAAAGAAGACUUUUAAUUGGGUGUUUGUAACCUGAGAAAAAUCUAAAAGGAAGACGAUUUGCAUAUUCUGGCUCAUCCUGAGAAACCUCUAAUAAGUGGGGACAGCCAUGCGCUGUCUGGGGCCCAAAUCACGUGGGGCUCUUUGAACUACUGCAGGCUGGUGAGAGAAGGAC
Molecule: long non-coding RNA, 1153 nt
Organism: Physeter macrocephalus (sperm whale)
Lineage: Eukaryota; Metazoa; Chordata; Mammalia; Artiodactyla; Physeteridae
Exons: 3
Source: RefSeq, a predicted model, not a curated record